This 72-nucleotide transfer RNA is filed under the name Phytophthora megakarya. It matches the Rfam family "tRNA". Rfam says of the family: Transfer RNA (tRNA) molecules are approximately 80 nucleotides in length. Their secondary structure includes four short double-helical elements and three loops (D, anti-codon, and T loops). The record is from Rfam by way of RNAcentral. Lineage: Eukaryota; Oomycota; Peronosporomycetes; Peronosporales; Peronosporaceae.
GGACACAUAGCCCAAAUGGCAAGGCCCCACCUUUCUAGCGGAUGAACGCGGGUUCGAUUCCCGCUGUGUCAA